Molecule: long non-coding RNA, 910 nt
Organism: Alosa sapidissima (American shad)
Lineage: Eukaryota; Metazoa; Chordata; Actinopteri; Clupeiformes; Clupeidae
Exons: 4
Source: RefSeq, a predicted model, not a curated record
GAUGACCUGUUCUGAGCACGGGGCAAAGAUGGCGGACAGUGAGAUUGCAGGAGAGUGAACUACAGAAACAAGAAGAUUUCCGAGAAAUAACAUUUGUUAUCGAGGAAAAAAACAUUUUCCCACAAUCUCAGGUGUCGGAAACUCUGUGUCAAGGACCAUACAUAACUACAAGCCAGCUAUGGACAAGACGUCGGUGUCGAUCGGGAUCACUGUGGGCUUCGCCGUGCUGGGCGGUCUGCUCCUGGCCUGUCUCAUCAAGCACCUGUGGGGCAAGAUAAAGUGCCCCAAGUGCAAACGCAAGAAGCCGUCAAUGAAGGAUAAAGUGCUAGAGAAAGUUGGUGUUCAGUCCAAGUCCAAGUCCAAGACAUUCUCCAUCAGCAACAUAGUGGAGAAGAAAUAAGAGCUAGCUGCAGAAUGUAUAGCGUGGCCACAGACUCACCUUUUCUACUCAUUUCCUGUACCUGUGCUUUAGUUCUGACUCACUUCCUCCUGACGCUCUAAAAGCUACCUCUCUCUGACUUUAGCUCCCAUUGGCACGUGUGUGUCCUCAGUCAACUUCUGUCAUGAUGGCCUUUACAUGUUCCUCUUUCUGCUGUGAAUCUUUUUUUGCAUAGACAUAACUUGUGGAUAUCUGUAUAUAUGUAAUAGUUACGACAGGUGGAUUCUCUAGUGUAACAUAAGAGUAGAAUAACUCUAACAGGGUUCGGAUUUUAUUUUAGCUCAAUAGAAGUCGGUGGUCACUUACACAGCAUGAACUCCAUGUUUUGGACAUGUAUUUGACCUUUGCAGGACUCACUCAUAUCUGUUCUUUCUCACGCUAGUGAAAAAAAAAAAAAAUUCCAUUGACUGUCAUGCAAAAAAAAAAGAAAGAAAAGAAAAACACUCCUGGUUUGGUCGGUGUUCUCACACA